UGAACGCUGGCGGCGUGCCUAAUACAUGCAAGUCGAGCGACCGGACGAGAAGCUUGCUUCUCUGAUGUUAGCGGCGGACGGGUGAGUAACACGUGGAUAACCUACCUAUAAGACUGGGAUAACUUCGGGAAACCGGAGCUAAUACCGGAUAAUAUUUUGAACCGCAUGGUUCAAAAGUGAAAGACGGUCUUGCUGUCACUUAUAGAUGGAUCCGCGCUGCAUUAGCUAGUUGGUAAGGUAACGGCUUACCAAGGCAACGAUGCAUAGCCGACCUGAGAGGGUGAUCGGCCACACUGGAACUGAGACACGGUCCAGACUCCUACGGGAGGCAGCAGUAGGGAAUCUUCCGCAAUGGGCGAAAGCCUGACGGAGCAACGCCGCGUGAGUGAUGAAGGUCUUCGGAUCGUAAAACUCUGUUAUUAGGGAAGAACAUAUGUGUAAGUAACUGUGCACAUCUUGACGGUACCUAAUCAGAAAGCCACGGCUAACUACGUG
Molecule: ribosomal RNA, 495 nt
Filed under: uncultured bacterium
Lineage: Bacteria
Description: partial 16S ribosomal RNA
Rfam family: Bacterial small subunit ribosomal RNA
Source: RNAcentral